AAAGUGACAAGAUGCAAGUUCGUCAGCAUUUUUUCAUUUUAGACCGCUUGGCAGCGAUGCAAUCUUGCGUCCUGUGGAGAAAAACUGCGGAUAAACUUCCAGCUUGUCCCUUUUAUUCAAAUCGAGAAAUCGAUCAUGCGACUUACGCCCUUAUUCUAGCACACGCUUGAGUUUUACUUCGUCUGCUAUACAGUCUUGUUUACGCUGGUCGCAUCAUUAGCAGGAUCAUAGUGAAUUUCGUCUCUCAAUUUCCGAAACUUGCUCAUACACUCGUCACACAUGCAGAUAAUUUUAGACGAGCACAACACACACAAUACAUCUUCAAUCAAUUCAACGCAGCUAGCAUGGAAGAAGCCGGCACAAUAUCCUUCGCAAACGGUAUAGAGGUCGGCUUUGAAAUUGAUUCUCAGAGAGCACUUUUUGCAAUUUUUUUCUCCAUCCAUGUUGAAGCGGGAAUGGCAGCAACUGUACUUUCAACCAAAUGCCGAUUAUCGAUAUUCUAGAAUAUCACAAUAUCACGACGUAAACUUAAAAUAUCACCAAAAUAUUCGAUGGAGAGGUUUCAACGGCUUGAUCGGAUAGCGCAGAUAACGUUACUAUGACCAGAGAUCUACUAAACUAAAGAUGACAGAUAGUCCGGAUUGCUAAUUAAGGAACCAGUUGGUUGGAAUUCUGUAUCACGUAUUUAUAAAUAAGACAAAAUUAUAACACUAUAAAAGAAGGGAGAGAUGUAGGAUCUUAGUAGUCCAUGAUUUGUAACUUGACAAGGAACUCUAAUAAAUAUAUCAUUGUUAAUUACACCACUAACCAAACAAGUCUCGUCUCUACACUGGGAUUUCCACAGAAAAUUAUUCCCAGAAAUCCGCCAGAGAAUGCAUUAGAAAUCAUUUUAAUCACUUCUCCUGGAAGGCCCUAUAAGUACUAAUUAAAUACAAAUUUCAAUUGGUAGUUAAAGUAUCUUUCAGUUGUUCAUUAAUAAUUUGUUUAGAAUUUUCAGGAAUCAAAAACAAAAAAUACAAAAAAAAUCUAGGAGUCUCACCAAAAAAGUUUUUAAGAUCAUUGAGCAAGGAUUAAUUUCACGAAUUCUUCAGAACAGAACUAACAGAAAAUGAUUGGUGUUAAAACGGAUGAAAGUUUUACUGAAAUUAGUUGCAACUAAAAUCUUAGGUAAUAUUUUGUAUGAAGUCCGGAGUUUCAUGAUACUAUAUAGUGAACAUAUUGAUAGAGAAACAACCAAUUUUUUUCCCACCUUUAGAAAUCCCAAAUAAACUUUUUUGAAGGGUCUAUUAUUGAUUAUUUUGUAGUACAGUAGAAAUUUAACGCGAAAACAUUGCCGGUAUUUUUUUAAGAACAUUGCCGAAGAUGUAUUGUGCAUUACCGUACACCCCGGUAAUUUGAACGGUACCUCAUGCAAACCACCGGGGUUCAUUUUUAUUUCGAACAUCUAGUCACCCUAGAAACGUGUUUCUGGUAACCUCUUUCACUGUUUUGUUUUGAUUCUGCGUUCCGUUCCACAAUCCGUUCCAAUAUAUCCUUCCUUGAAUUCUGGGUUUCUAGAUUUCUGCCAGAAAGCCUGUAGAAAUUUCGCCUACGUAUCGCACAAAAAUUCAAACCAAGAAUAUGGAUUCUGACAAUAAUUGGUAAAAUUAUUUCUAAAGAAGGGUUUUAAGGAAUAUCAAUACAAACUUCUUUAUGAAUACCUUAAUAAAUCCCUUCCCCCUUCCCCCUUCCCAAUUAUUUUGUUACAUAUUUCUCUAUUUUACCACUUUCAACAUAUUUCCUUUGAACAUUCGAAGGCAAGAUACAUUUGGAAAACAAUUUUCUUUCCAAUUCAUGAAUAAACUGGGGAAGCGAUUGUUUUGUUAAUAACAAGAGUCGUGCACAUUAAUUCAGAAAAUUUCGCUACAUGUUAAAUUGUUUUUAAUUCUUGGGAGGGGUGAGGCCCCUCUGACACACCCCCCUCCCCCGGUACUACGCCAAUGCCAGUUACGAUGUAAUUAGUGUUCAAUGAAUUAUAAGAAAAUUUAAAUAACAAAGGUUAUAAAAAAUGAAUUUAGAAUGUUUGAUGAACAUGGAACACAGAAUCGACAAAUGUCCGGCAUUAAAUUUAUCAAUUCAAAAUAAAAAUUCUUUGUUUAUUGGAAAUAAUAUUAUUUGGUGAAAGCUACUUCCACAGACAAACAGAC
This is a long non-coding RNA of Aedes aegypti (yellow fever mosquito), 2186 nucleotides long. RefSeq lists it as uncharacterized. The record is from RefSeq and is a predicted model, not a curated record. The transcript is spliced from 2 exons. Lineage: Eukaryota; Metazoa; Arthropoda; Insecta; Diptera; Culicidae.